This 870-nucleotide ribosomal RNA is filed under the name uncultured fungus. RNAcentral's name for it is "eukaryotic LSU rRNA". It matches the Rfam family "Eukaryotic large subunit ribosomal RNA", at positions 75 to 932 of the family's 3401-position model. Lineage: Eukaryota; Fungi. The record is from RNAcentral.
UUCCCCUAGUAACUGCGAGUGAAGCGGGAAAAGCUCAAAUUUAAAAUCUGGCGGUCUUUGGCCGUCCGAGUUGUAAUCUAGAGAAGUGUUACCCGCGUCGGACCGUGUACAAGUCUCCUGGAAUGGAGCGUCAUAGAGGGUGAGAAUCCCGUCUUUGACACGGACUACCGAGGCUUUGUGGUGCGCUCUCAAAGAGUCGAGUUGUUUGGGAAUGCAGCCCAAAAUGGGUGGUAAAUUCCAUCUAAAGCUAAAUAUUGGCGAGAGACCGAUAGCGAACAAGUACCGUGAGGGAAAGAUGAAAAGAACUUUGGAAAGAGAGUUAAACAGUACGUGAAAUUGCUGAAAGGGAAACGCUUGAAGUCAGUCGCGUCCUCCGGGAAUCAGCCUUCCUUCUGGUUGGUGUACUUCCUGGUGGACGGGCCAGCAUCAGUUUUGACCGGUGGAAAAAGUUGGAGGGAAUGUGGCACCUUCGGGUGUGUUAUAGCCUUCCUUCGUAUACAUCGAUUGGGACCGAGGAACUCAGCACGCCGCAAGGCCGGGAUUCGUCCACGUUCGUGCUUAGGAUGCUGGCAUAAUGGCUUUAAUCGACCCGUCUUGAAACACGGACCAAGGAGUCUAACAUGCCUGCGAGUGUUUGGGUGGAAAACCCGAGCGCGUAAUGAAAGUGAAAGUUGAGAUCCCUGUCAUGGGGAGCAUCGACGCCCGGACCAGACGUUUUCUGACGGUUCUGCGGUAGAGCAUGUAUGUUGGGACCCGAAAGAUGGUGAACUAUGCCUGAAUAGGGUGAAGCCAGAGGAAACUCUGGUGGAGGCUCGUAGCGAUUCUGACGUGCAAAUCGAUCGUCAAAUUUGGGUAUAGGGGCGAAAGACU